RNAcentral lists this ribosomal RNA (827 nucleotides) under Staphylococcus aureus. Its description in RNAcentral is "partial 23S ribosomal RNA". It matches the Rfam family "Bacterial large subunit ribosomal RNA", at positions 231 to 1056 of the family's 2925-position model. The record is from RNAcentral. Lineage: Bacteria; Bacillati; Bacillota; Bacilli; Caryophanales; Staphylococcaceae.
UCGAUUCCCUUAGUAGCGGCGAGCGAAACGGGAAGAGCCCAAACCAACAAGCUUGCUUGUUGGGGUUGUAGGACACUCUAUACGGAGUUACAAAGGACGACAUUAGACGAAUCAUCUGGAAAGAUGAAUCAAAGAAGGUAAUAAUCCUGUAGUCGAAAAUGUUGUCUCUCUUGAGUGGAUCCUGAGUACGACGGAGCACGUGAAAUUCCGUCGGAAUCUGGGAGGACCAUCUCCUAAGGCUAAAUACUCUCUAGUGACCGAUAGUGAACCAGUACCGUGAGGGAAAGGUGAAAAGCACCCCGGAAGGGGAGUGAAAUAGAACCUGAAACCGUGUGCUUACAAGUAGUCAGAGCCCGUUAAUGGGUGAUGGCGUGCCUUUUGUAGAAUGAACCGGCGAGUUACGAUUUGAUGCAAGGUUAAGCAGUAAAUGUGGAGCCGUAGCGAAAGCGAGUCUGAAUAGGGCGUUUAGUAUUUGGUCGUAGACCCGAAACCAGGUGAUCUACCCUUGGUCAGGUUGAAGUUCAGGUAACACUGAAUGGAGGACCGAACCGACUUACGUUGAAAAGUGAGCGGAUGAACUGAGGGUAGCGGAGAAAUUCCAAUCGAACCUGGAGAUAGCUGGUUCUCUCCGAAAUAGCUUUAGGGCUAGCCUCAAGUGAUGAUUAUUGGAGGUAGAGCACUGUUUGGACGAGGGGCCCCUCUCGGGUUACCGAAUUCAGACAAACUCCGAAUGCCAAUUAAUUUAACUUGGGAGUCAGAACAUGGGUGAUAAGGUCCGUGUUCGAAAGGGAAACAGCCCAGACCACCAGCUAAGGUCCCAAAAUAUA